This is a long non-coding RNA of Octopus sinensis (East Asian common octopus), 154 nucleotides long. RefSeq lists it as uncharacterized. NCBI's taxonomy places the organism in Eukaryota, Metazoa, Mollusca, Cephalopoda, Octopoda, Octopodidae. The transcript is spliced from 3 exons. The record is from RefSeq and is a predicted model, not a curated record.
GCUGUUUUGAAGUGUUUGAGGGAGGACAUUCAAUGAAAGCAACCGGAUCUGUGGAGCACGAUGAAUUGAAUUCUUCACAAUGACAAUGCACACUGUCACCGAGCUCUCCUCACUCGUGAGUUUCUCACCAAAAACAAUACGACAUCACUUCCAC